AGCAGCCGCGGUAAUUCCAGCUCCAAUAGCGUAUAUUAAAGUUGUUGCAGUUAAAAAGCUCGUAGUUGAAUUUCGGGAUUAGUACGCUGGUCGUGUCUUUGGUAUGUACUGGUGUUACUGAUUCCUACCUUCUGACGAACUGUCAUGUCAUUUAUUUGGUGUGGCGGGGAAUCAGGACUGUUACUUUGAAAAAAUUAGAGUGUUUAAAGCAGGCUCGCGCUUGAAUACAUUAGCAUGGAAUAAUGAAAUAGGACGUUCGAUCCUAUUUUGUUGGUUUCUAGGAUUGACGUAAUGAUUAAUAGGGAUAGUUGGGGGCAUUAGUAUUCAAUUGUCAGAGGUGAAAUUCUUGGAUUUAUUGAAGACUAACUACUGCGAAAGCAUUUGCCAAGGAUGUUUUCAUUAAUCAAGAACGAAAGUUAGGGGAUCGAAGACGAUCAGAUACCGUCGUGGUCUUAACCAUAAACUAUGCCGACUAGGGAUCGGAUGAUGUUAAUUUUUUAAUGUACUCAUUCGGCGCCUU
RNAcentral lists this ribosomal RNA (520 nucleotides) under uncultured Glomus. Its description in RNAcentral is "SSU rRNA". It matches the Rfam family "Eukaryotic small subunit ribosomal RNA", at positions 569 to 1089 of the family's 1831-position model. Lineage: Eukaryota; Fungi; Glomeromycota; Glomeromycetes; Glomerales; Glomeraceae. The record is from RNAcentral.